This 488-nucleotide ribosomal RNA is filed under the name uncultured bacterium. RNAcentral describes it as "partial 16S ribosomal RNA". It matches the Rfam family "Bacterial small subunit ribosomal RNA", at positions 30 to 507 of the family's 1533-position model. The record is from RNAcentral.
UGAACGCUGGCGGCAUGCUUUACACAUGCAAAUCGGACGGCAGCACAGAGAAGCUUGCUUCUUGGGUGGCGAGUGGCGAACGGGUGAGUAAUAUAUCGGAACGUACCGAGUAAUGGGGGAUAACUAAUCGAAAGAUUAGCUAAUACCGCAUAUUCUCUGAGGAGGAAAGCAGGGGACCUUCGGGCCUUGCGUUAUUCGAGCGGCCGAUAUCUGAUUAGCUAGUUGGUGGGGUAAAGGCCUACCAAGGCGACGAUCAGUAGCGGGUCUGAGAGGAUGAUCCGCCACACUGGGACUGAGACACGGCCCAGACUCCUACGGGAGGCAGCAGUGGGGAAUUUUGGACAAUGGGCGCAAGCCUGAUCCAGCCAUGCCGCGUGUCUGAAGAAGGCCUUCGGGUUGUAAAGGACUUUUGUCAGGGAAGAAAAGGCUGUUGCUAAUAUCAAUAGCUGAUGACGGUACCUGAAGAAUAAGCACCGGCUAACUACGUG